RNAcentral lists this signal recognition particle RNA (93 nucleotides) under Bacteroidota bacterium. RNAcentral's name for it is "signal recognition particle sRNA small type". It matches the Rfam family "Bacteroidales small SRP", at positions 9 to 102 of the family's 107-position model. From Rfam's summary of the family: The non-coding component of the signal recognition particle in Bacteroides Lineage: Bacteria; Pseudomonadati; Bacteroidota. The record is from RNAcentral.
GGUGAGGGUUCACGAUCCGCUCCUUCUGAACUCCCCCAGGGUAGAAAUACAGCAAGGGUAGGAAGUUGAGCGAUGCGAUGGACUCUUACCAUU